Molecule: ribosomal RNA, 505 nt
Filed under: uncultured bacterium
Lineage: Bacteria
Description: bacterial SSU rRNA
Rfam family: Bacterial small subunit ribosomal RNA
Source: RNAcentral
UCAGGAUGAACGCUAGCUACAGGCUAACACAUGCAAGUCGAGGGGCAGCAGGACGAUAGCUUGCUAUUGUUGCUGGCGACCGGCGCACGGGUGAGUAACGCGUAUCCAACCUUCCCCUUAGUAGGGCAUAGCCCGGUGAAAAUCGGAUUAAUACCCUAUGUUGUGUCAUGAGGACAUCUGAAUAACACUAAAGAUUUAUCGCUAAGGGAUGGGGAUGCGUCCGAUUAGGUAGUCGGCGGGGUAACGGCCCACCGAGCCCUCGAUCGGUAGGGGUUCUGAGAGGAAGGUCCCCCACACUGGUACUGAGACACGGACCAGACUCCUACGGGAGGCAGCAGUGAGGAAUAUUGGUCAAUGGGCGCGAGCCUGAACCAGCCAAGUAAGCGUGCAGGAUGACGGCCCUAUGGGUUGUAAACUGCUUUUAUACGGGGAUAAAGUGAGGGACGUGUCCCUUAUUGUAGGUACCGUAUGAAUAAGGACCGGCUAAUUCCGUGCCAGCCGCCGC